UAUGGCAGAUUAGUGCAAUGGAUUUAAAUUCCUUUUAUAAAGAUUUAUAUCUUUUAUUAAAA
Molecule: transfer RNA, 62 nt
Filed under: Temnothorax semiruber
Lineage: Eukaryota; Metazoa; Arthropoda; Insecta; Hymenoptera; Formicidae
Description: tRNA-Leu
Source: RNAcentral